Molecule: ribosomal RNA, 194 nt
Filed under: uncultured Filimonas sp.
Lineage: Bacteria; Pseudomonadati; Bacteroidota; Chitinophagia; Chitinophagales; Chitinophagaceae
Description: partial 16S ribosomal RNA
Rfam family: Bacterial small subunit ribosomal RNA
Source: RNAcentral
UACUCCUACGGGAGGCAGCAGUAAGGAAUAUUGGUCAAUGGACGAAAGUCUGAACCAGCCAUGCCGCGUGGAGGAUGAAGGUCCUCUGGAUUGUAAACUUCUUUUAUCUGGGACGAAAAAAGGUCUUUCUAGAUCGUCUGACGGUACCAGAUGAAUAAGCACCGGCUAACUCCGUGCCAGCAGCCGCGGUAAUA